AAUCCUAAAAUUAAAUAAUCCUUAAUAAUUAUCUUAAUAUUAAUUAUCCUAAUAUAAUUAAAAUAGAGUCUGAUAGAAUAAAAUCUCUUCUUUUUGCAUUUCAACCCUUGUUUCCUCCAUGCUUGCACUUUUGGCACCAAUUUUUCUUUGUGUCGCACAUUGGCCCAUUUUAUCUCUAAAUUCACGCUUUUGGCCCUUAAUUUUGCUUUUGCCUCAAAUUUAGUCCCUAUGAGAUAAAAGAACAUAAAUAGCUCAAAUUAGCAGGAUCAUACUCAGAAUAAAUACAUAAUUAAUACAUAAAAAUACGUUAUUCUAGAGUGCUAUCAAAUACAAAAUAUUAAAUUUCAGUAUAACAAUAAAAUAUUUAAAUUAAAUUAGAUUAAACAUAAAAAAAUUCUUACCAUUUGCAAUUGGUCGAUCGAAAUGUGCUUCCCAUCCAAACGCAUUAGAGAUUUUGUCAUUACUAAUUUCGAAAAACACGAAGUAAAU
This 489-nucleotide long non-coding RNA is filed under the name Gossypium raimondii (Peruvian cotton). Its description in RNAcentral is "long non-coding RNA (GRAI_LNC006555)". Lineage: Eukaryota; Viridiplantae; Streptophyta; Magnoliopsida; Malvales; Malvaceae. The record is from RNAcentral.